Molecule: ribosomal RNA, 805 nt
Filed under: uncultured bacterium
Lineage: Bacteria
Description: bacterial SSU rRNA
Rfam family: Bacterial small subunit ribosomal RNA
Source: RNAcentral
UCUGGAAACUGUCUGACUNGAGUGCAGAAGGGGAGAGUGGAAUUCCAUGUGUAGCGGUGAAAUGCGUAGAUAUAUGGAGGAACACCAGUGGCGAAAGCGGCUCUCUGGUCUGUCACUGACGCUGAGGCUCGAAAGCGUGGGUAGCGAACAGGAUUAGAUACCCUGGUAGUCCACGCCGUAACCGAUGAGUGCUAGGUGUUAGGCCCUUUCCGGGGCUUAGUGCCGGAGCUAACGCAAUAAGCACUCCGCCUGGGGAGUACGACCGCAAGGUUGAAACUCAAAGGAAUUGACGGGGGCCCGCACAAGCGGUGGAGCAUGUGGUUUAAUUCGAAGCAACGCGAAGAACCUUACCAGGUCUUGACAUCCCGAUGCUAUUCUUAGAGAUAGGAAGUUACUUCGGUACAUCGGAGACAGGUGGUGCAUGGUUGUCGUCAGCUCGUGUCGUGAGAUGUUGGGUUAAGUCCCGCAACGAGCGCAACCCUUAUUGUUAGUUGCCAUCAUUAAGUUGGGCACUCUAGCGAGACUGCCGGUAAUAAACCGGAGGAAGGUGGGGAUGACGUCAAAUCAUCAUGCCCCUUAUGACCUGGGCUACACACGUGCUACAAUGGUCGGUACAACGAGUUGCGAGCCGGUGACGGCAAGCUAAUCUCUGAAAGCCGAUCUCAGUUCGGAUUGGAGGCUGCAACUCGCCUCCAUGAAGUCGGAAUCGCUAGUAAUCGCGGAUCAGCACGCCGCGGUGAAUACGUUCCCGGGCCUUGUACACACCGCCCGUCACACCACGAGAGUUUGUAACACCCGAAGUCGG